This 447-nucleotide ribosomal RNA is filed under the name uncultured bacterium. Its description in RNAcentral is "partial 16S ribosomal RNA". It matches the Rfam family "Bacterial small subunit ribosomal RNA", at positions 29 to 523 of the family's 1533-position model. The record is from RNAcentral.
AACGAACGCUGGCGGCAGGCUUAACACAUGCAAGUCGAACGCCCCGCAAGGGGAGUGGCAGACGGGUGAGUAACGCGUGGGAAUCUACCGUACCCUACGGAACAACAGUUGGAAACGACUACUAAUACCGUAUACGCCCUACGGGGGAAAGAUUUAUCGGGGUAUGAUGAGCCCGCGUUGGAUUAGCUAGUUGAUGGGGUAAAGGCCUACCAAGGCGACGAUCCAUAGCUGGUCUGAGAGGAUGAUCAGCCACAUUGGGACUGAGACACGGCCCAAACUCCUACGGGAGGCAGCAGUGGGGAAUAUUGGACAAUGGGCGCAAGCCUGAUCCAGCCAUGCCGCGUGAGUGAUGAAGGUCUUAGGAUUGUAAAGCUCUUUCACCGAUGAAGAUAAUGACGGUAGUCGGAGAAGAAGCCCCGGCUAACUUCGUGCCAGCCGCCGCGGUAA